UAAAAGUCGGAGGAAGGUGGGAUGACGUCAAAUCAUCAUGCCCCUUAUGACCUGGGCUACACACGUGCUACAAUGGGCGGUACAAAGGGUCGCGAACCCGCGAGGGGGAGCCAAUCCCAAAAAGCCGCUCUCAGUUCGGAUUGCAGGCUGCAACUCGCCUGCAUGAAGCCGGAAUCGCUAGUAAUCGCGGAUCAGCAUGCCGCGGUGAAUACGUUCCCGGGCCUU
Molecule: ribosomal RNA, 225 nt
Filed under: uncultured Anoxybacillus sp.
Lineage: Bacteria; Bacillati; Bacillota; Bacilli; Caryophanales; Anoxybacillaceae
Description: partial 16S ribosomal RNA
Rfam family: Bacterial small subunit ribosomal RNA
Source: RNAcentral